UACGUAGGGUGCGAGCGUUAAUCGGAAUUACUGGGCGUAAAGCGUGCGCAGGCGGCUUCGCAAGUCAGGCGUGAAAUCCCCGGGCUUAACCUGGGAACUGCGUCUGAUACUGGACGGCUCGAGUUUGGGAGAGGGAUGUGGAAUUCCAGGUGUAGCGGUGAAAUGCGUAGAUAUCUGGAGGAACACCGGUGGCGAAGGCGGCAUCCUGGACCAACACUGACGCUGAGGCGCGAAAGCUAGGGGAGCAAACGGG
RNAcentral lists this ribosomal RNA (253 nucleotides) under uncultured bacterium. Its description in RNAcentral is "partial 16S ribosomal RNA". It matches the Rfam family "Bacterial small subunit ribosomal RNA", at positions 524 to 776 of the family's 1533-position model. The record is from RNAcentral.